AACAGUCGCUCGGUUUGAGCUCAAAUAAAUGCAGGGAUGCCUCGGCUGGGAGCAGUCCGCCGCCUCCCUCCGAGCGCAGGACGCUCCGACGCCCGCUUGCCCGCAGGCCACCGCAGACUGGGAAUUACACAGCAAGAUGGCUUUCCCUACUCCAUCGUGGCUAGAGCCUCUGCAAGGGCUGAAGCCCUUUGAUCUUGGCUUCAUUUGGAUACAUUUCAAGGGCCUUACUGGCUUUGGGCAAGUGCUGAAGUUCACUCAUUUUCUAUUGGUUGUUUCUCCCCAUGAAAGACAUUGAACAUAAGUGGUGUGGAAUAAUGUUAAGCUUCUCUGAUGGGUCCUAAAUGGUUGAAGAACACCCCUCAAGAGAUGGGAAGAUUCUAAGAGCCAGAGAGAAUGGAUUACUCCAAGGCAACACAAUGGGACUGAUGACCACAUGAACUCUUAGAGACUGUAGCAGCUUGCACCAGGCCUGUACAGGUUCAAGCCAGAUGGGGUUCCAGCACUGAGAGGGGAAUUGGACAUGGACGUCUACUCCUUACUAAGAAGCUCUCUGCAACUGAUACCGACUUGCAAAGGAAAAUAGUUUUCUCCAAUGAAGUACCACUGAGUAUAUUAACCAUACUUCAAGGUAGGCCGCCUUCCCAAAAAACUUGGGGUUGGAGUCUGGUCCCCAAUGCCUAUGUUUCUGUUUCCAGGGUGAAUUCAUUUCAUAUUUUCAUGAUUUAUGAAAAAAUAUUUUAGAUGAAUGCAAUACAAAUCAAGAUUAACCAA
RNAcentral lists this long non-coding RNA (771 nucleotides) under Mus musculus (house mouse). RNAcentral describes it as "RIKEN cDNA 9030622O22 gene". The record is from RNAcentral. Lineage: Eukaryota; Metazoa; Chordata; Mammalia; Rodentia; Muridae.